GGAUAUGGAACUUAGUGGUAGAGUGUUUGCCUAGCAUGUAGGUGUAAGGUCCUGGGUUCAAUCCCCAGUACUUUCA
RNAcentral lists this transfer RNA (76 nucleotides) under Marmota marmota marmota (Alpine marmot). It matches the Rfam family "tRNA". Rfam says of the family: Transfer RNA (tRNA) molecules are approximately 80 nucleotides in length. Their secondary structure includes four short double-helical elements and three loops (D, anti-codon, and T loops). Lineage: Eukaryota; Metazoa; Chordata; Mammalia; Rodentia; Sciuridae. RNAcentral also lists the same sequence under 1 other name. The record is from Rfam by way of RNAcentral.